This 480-nucleotide ribosomal RNA is filed under the name Nosema granulosis. Its description in RNAcentral is "SSU rRNA". It matches the Rfam family "Microsporidia small subunit ribosomal RNA", at positions 299 to 820 of the family's 1311-position model. Lineage: Eukaryota; Fungi; Microsporidia; Nosematidae. The record is from RNAcentral.
CUUGACCUAUGAUAUGAUAUUGAGGCAGUUAUGAGUAGUAUUUUUAAUUAUUGUAGUAUUGUAAGUAUAUACUACAAGAUAAAUCGGAGGGCAAAUCGAGUGCCAGCAGCCGCGGUAAUACUUGUUCCGAUAGUGUGUAUGAUGAUUGAUGCAGUUAAAAAGUCUGUAGUUUAUGAUUAAUAAGCAUUGUGAGGUAUAUUGUAUGGUUAGGAGAGAGAUGAAAUGUGAUAACCCUAACUGGAUGAACAGAAGCGAAAGCUAUAUACUUAAAUGUAUUAUUAGAACAAGGACGUAAGCUAGAGGAUCGAAGAUGAUUAGAUACCAUUGUAGUUCUAGCAGUAAACUAUGUUAAAUCAUAGAUACAUUUUAAUAUGUAUUUAUGUAAAGAAAUUAAGAUUAUAUUGACUCUGGGGAUAGUAUGAUCGCAAGAUUGAAAAUUAAAGAAAUUGACGGAAGAAUACCACAAGGAGUGGAUUGUGC